GAGAAUGUUUAGAUCUCUUUGGGGUAGAUCGCUUCCUCUCUAUCUUACAACCAUAUAACCUAAUACUCUUCUUAAUAAACGAAACCCAUUAACACAUAUGGGCCCUAAUUACUUAUAUGGCCCAAUGGCCUUUUCUUCUUUCUUCUUCUUCCUCCUCCUUCUACGACAAAACACUUGUUCUUCUCUUCACCUUAUGCUUCUUACGAUUCUUCUCCUUUCAUCAUCAUCUUCAUCUUCUCACACUUCUCUUUGUCUUUUCUCUUAUGUAGGAUUAAGUUAUGAUCAACAUCCAACACUCCCUCUUGAUUCAUUUGCUUUAUCCCCAAAUUUUGAUUUAGGGAUUUGAUUCCCUUGCUCUUUGUUCUUCUUCUGGUGAUUCGCCUCCUCACUAUGCAAAUCCCUUUCACGAAAUUGGCACAACUCACUGAUGAGUUUGUGCACAAUCUCUGUAUCCCAUCUCCCUUUUGCUCUUCUUCAUCUCCUCUUGAAUCAAUUUUCCUUAAUCGAUUCUCAGCCUCUUUUCUUUUCUUUGCCGAUCACCUGUCUGCAAUAUUUUGUCUGCAAUGUGCUUGCAAGAAAUAAGAAAGACGUUUGAUAUUUAUAGUGAAGUAGAAUGUUAGGGUUUUUGGCUUUAAAAGUUUCGAAAAUCUUGGAGAGGAAUCACAAAAUAUUGGAAACAUUAAGGGGGGGGUAUUGAUCUAAGGAAUGUGAGAGAAUUUAAUAGAAAGUUGAAUUCUAGUGUUAUUCAAUUAGAGAUUUUGUAAAUUCUUUUAAAUUCAUGUGUUAUUGAAGAUGUUAAUUUUUAAGUUCUA
Long non-coding RNA from Arabidopsis lyrata subsp. lyrata, 812 nucleotides. RefSeq lists it as uncharacterized. The transcript has 2 exons. Lineage: Eukaryota; Viridiplantae; Streptophyta; Magnoliopsida; Brassicales; Brassicaceae. The record is from RefSeq and is a predicted model, not a curated record.